UACUCUGAGCCUCAGGUGGUGUUUGUUUCCAGGGACUUUUUUGGUGUAGGGACUAAAAAAAGUCCCAAAAAGUCCCAUGUGAAACAAACAGGAGGAACUUUUAGGGACUAAAGUGGGGUGUUUGGGACUAUUUGGAAAAGUACCUAUGUGAGGGACUUUUUGGGACUUUUUCCAACAAUGCCCCUACUUUUAGCAUGUAAUUUAAUAACUACUAUUACAUUACUAAGGAUAACAUGGUCUUUUUACAUGUCAUUUAAUGACCUCUAGUCCCUAUUUAGUCCCUGGAAACAAACGGGUAGGGACUAGGGACUUUUAAGUUAAGACUAGAAAAAGUCCCAGGACUUCUCAAACAAACAGGGCCUCAGUAGUGGAGUACUUUCACAUCGAAGCGGUGAGAAGUAAACAAUAUUGCAUUUAAGAGAUCGCACGUGCCGGUUAGAGAAGUAAAAUUGGAUUUUCACUCCUUCAAUCGGUUUUAAUGGAUCCGCAAGAGUUGCUUUAUAGCGAAUUUUAAGGCCCCUAUUAUUUUUCUAUAUCAUGCUAUUUUUUCCCUCUUAGCGCAAAAUAGAAUGAGAACUUUGUUUCGUUCAACAGUUAACAUGUGUAUGAUCUAUUAACUCCUCUCCGUGACUCAAUAUUGACUAUAUUUUCUUUGACUCUAAGUUCCACUGAUUGACAAAGCAAAGACUAUCUCAAGUGUCACGGCCUAAAGAAACUCAAAAUAAAGGGAAUCUUCAAUGUAAUAAUUGAUUGAAUGGAAACUCGAAAUGAUGCCCAAAUAAAAUGCAUACAACCAGCAAGGUUAAAUGCGUAGAAGCAUUGAUGAUUCACAUCAGACCCAAGUUAAUGGAAACAUGGUUGUUGCUUCACAUCAGAUCUGAGCUAAUGUGAUAGUACUUCUAUUCAAGUGUGAAAGAAUACUAUCCUUCUAUUUAACGCGAGAGGAAAUAUGGGAGAUGGUUAUCAGUCAUUCUUCGAACCUGAUCCGAGAAAGGAGUAGCGUCUAGCGCUUCACACCCCGUUGAUGUUUCUUUUGCAAUGUUGUGUGACAUCCUAGGACUUGGAAGCAUAAGGAUUGUAGAGUGCGUCAACUUAAGUUUAUACAUAACGUGGUGUCCUUCUAUUGGUCAGCUAAAUAUGGGCUCUUGGUCAAGUGUGUGGGUGUGUGUUGGUGACUAGACUAGCGUAUUCUCAGUGUAUUUCAUUGUGAUGUGGCAGUGUACCCAGUGCGUUGGGUCCCUCCUUGAGGAAUGGGGGAGAGGUGGCCUCCUGCUCUCAUGAUUCCCUACUGGUUGUUGGCCGACAUUUCCUCGUCUUGUUGUCGAUGUUGGUGUGGUGAAAUCCAGUAGACAUUUCUUCUCAAGAACGUGGCGAUGUUCGAAGCUACUAGCUCUAUCCAUAGGCGGUGAAGAUGAUUGAGAUAAUUUGAAGUUGUUUCUUGCAAGUAUAGUGUGAGUGUGGUUAGUUUACGAUCCAACGUCAACGACAUAGCACCAAGGGAAACAUUGCAGAAUGCUCUAGAACAGGGAAUACAUUUAAUUCAAAAAUACAAACACUCCAUAUUACUUGUAUAUUAGGUUUGAUUAUCUGAGAAUGCUUAUACGAUUACCGAGAGCUCAAACGAUAGUGUGUGAAUGUCCAUAUGUUUGUUAUGUCGGAUUAAGAUACACAAAAUCACAUCAAAUCAAAGUUCAAUGUAACAGUUUUUUUAUUUAGGCCUAACAUCAUAGCCAACUACUUAAACGUGAUAAGAAAGAUGAAACAUGCCGCAUACGGGCACGGCAGGGGCACGGUCAGCCCCGCA
RNAcentral lists this long non-coding RNA (1804 nucleotides) under Hordeum vulgare. RNAcentral describes it as "long non-coding RNA (HVUL_LNC016900)". The record is from RNAcentral. Lineage: Eukaryota; Viridiplantae; Streptophyta; Magnoliopsida; Poales; Poaceae.